UGCAUAGGAAUCUGCCCGGUAGUGGGGGAUAACCUGGGGAAACCCAGGCUAAUACCGCAUACGUCCUACGGGAGAAAGGGGGCUCCGGCUCCCGCUAUUGGAUGAGCCUAUGUCGGAUUAGCUAGUUGGUGAGGUAAUGGCUCACCAAGGCAACGAUCCGUAGCUGGUCUGAGAGGAUGAUCAGCCACAUCGGGACUGAGACACGGCCCGAACUCCUACGGGAGGCAGCAGUGGGGAAUAUUGGACAAUGGGGGCAACCCUGAUCCAGCCAUGCCGCGUGUGUGAAGAAGGCCCUCGGGUUGUAAAGCACUUUCAGCGAGGAAGAACGCCUAGUGGUUAAUACCCAUUAGGAAAGACAUCACUCGCAGAAGAAGCACCGGCUAACUCCGUGCCAGCAGCCGCGGUAAUACGGAGGGUGCAAGCGUUAAUCGGAAUUACUGGGCGUAAAGCGCGCGUAGGUGGCUUGAUAAGCCGGUUGUGAAAGCCCCGGGCUCAACCUGGGAACGGCAUCCGGAACUGUCAGGCUAGAGUGCAGGAGAGGAAGGUAGAAUUCCCGGUGUAGCGGUGAAAUGCGUAGAGAUCGGGAGGAAUACCAGUGGCGAAGGCGGCCUUCUGGACUGACACUGACACUGAGGUGCG
Molecule: ribosomal RNA, 639 nt
Filed under: uncultured bacterium
Lineage: Bacteria
Description: bacterial SSU rRNA
Rfam family: Bacterial small subunit ribosomal RNA
Source: RNAcentral